Arthromyces matolae is the source of this 115-nucleotide non-coding RNA. The record is from the annotation of a GenBank genome assembly. Lineage: Eukaryota; Fungi; Basidiomycota; Agaricomycetes; Agaricales; Lyophyllaceae.
GCCUUCUUGGCUCAGUUGGCUAGAGCGCAGGUCUCAUAAUCGCCUGGGCAUCCCAGACAUGAGUGGCUUCGGCCAUAUAAUCCUGAGGUCGCAAGUUCGAGCCUUGCAGAGGGCA